AGUUGGGAGCUCCCUGCUAUUAAAAAGCCACAGGAAGUCUUUUCGUACUGCCUGAGGAAUUAAUCCCUUAUUUAACGUUCAGAAUUGCUGGAUCGAUUGAACAGGACUGGAGCUAACAUUUGCUUGGAUUUGGCACCAUUGAUAGGGAACUGCCUGCUGCGUCCUCCGCUUUGAAGUCACCCUGGUCUUUGGGCCUCCAGCACCUUCUUCAGCAUGUCCAACCCAUCUAAGAGGCGUAUGAUAAUGGUGUUCUACUGGGUUAGGAAGACGCCCCUGACAGAGAAGCCGUGCUCUACCACCUCGGCCAGACCUUCUGCCUCUGCACCGGCUUGCAACACUCCUCACAUUUCACCCUACUUCACGAGGAGCAAGACACAACCCGCUCCGCUCAGGAGGUCCAGCAGGCGCAAGGUGCCGCGAUUGCCGAAUCUCACCGACCCCAAGUUUUUAAGAUCGGUCAUUGGCAGCGUUGGACGGAAGAGAGCCCGCAGGUGUGGCAAGCAAAAGAAGACUCCGAGACUUCCAGUUUAACCGCGGACAUCAUAGAAGCGCGGAAAAACCUCUCUGAGGCUUUCUGAGCGGCGCGGGGGCUCUGAGGGUGGCGCAAGGGCACUGCGCACCUCCAAACCUCAAGGGGAUCAUCUUUGGGGGACAGGGGCACCCAGCGGCGCCACAGCUGCUCCCCUGUUUUCUCGGGGGUUUUUUUAAAGGCCCGAGAGCGGGACGGAGUGGCAGGCGUGAAAGGGAAAGCACCACCACCCCCGCGCUGUGCUGUCUCUAGAAAUGUAUAGAAAUGAAGAAGAAACUGUAAGAGAAGAUGUAUAUUAAGAAAACCACAACUGGGAAGGAAGGAAGUCGAGGCGUGAUUUUACGCAAUGUAAAUAAGAUGAUAUUAAGAAUGAUUGUAAAGACUGUUUUAUUUUGUUUGUG
RNAcentral lists this long non-coding RNA (930 nucleotides) under Podarcis lilfordi (Lilford's wall lizard). The record is from RNAcentral. Lineage: Eukaryota; Metazoa; Chordata; Lepidosauria; Squamata; Lacertidae.